UACGUAGGGUGCAAUCGUUGUCCGGAAUUAUUGGGCGUAAAGAGCUCGUAGGCGGUCUGUCGCGUCGGCUGUGGAAACCCGGGGCUCAACCCCGGGCCUGCAGUCGAUACGGGCAGACUAGAGUGUGGUAGGGGAGACUGGAAUUCCUGGUGUAGCGGUGAAAUGCGCAGAUAUCAGGAGGAACACCGGUGGCGAAGGCGGGUCUCUGGGCCAUAACUGACGCUGAGGAGUGAAAGCGUGGGGAGCGAACAGG
RNAcentral lists this ribosomal RNA (253 nucleotides) under uncultured bacterium. RNAcentral describes it as "partial 16S ribosomal RNA". It matches the Rfam family "Bacterial small subunit ribosomal RNA", at positions 524 to 776 of the family's 1533-position model. The record is from RNAcentral.